CUGAGCUGUCCUUCUAGUCACCGGAGUGUGCUUUUGAAAUCUGAGUACAAAUGAAACAUAAGAAGAUCCUCAGUUAGCUGUCAACUGGCCUCCGUUCCAGCCUUGACCGUGCAUUGCAUAAGACCUGCAAACAGUCCUGAGGCAUUUGCAGCAGAUGGGUGAACCGCAGCUAUUGGCCAGCUGACUUGUCCCUGUGGGUUUCCAAACUCCAAGCCCUAACCCAGAUAGCUUUGAAAACAGCUGUUGGCACAAGACCAUCUUUUAGACUGAAGCCUGGAAAAAAUCUAUUAUUAAGUUAAUGCAGUACAAUAUUCCAAGGAGAAAACAAAUAGCUUACAAGAUAAUUAUAUCAGCACCUCUGGCUUGACACUUUCUUGACCUCAAAGACCCUGUUUAGCCCAGUAACUUGGACUUUUUGGAUUUUCAUCACGUUAUAAUUUCAAGGCCUUGGACAUUUCCCAUUGUUACCACUGAGAAGAGAGACCCAGGAGGGUGAGCUAUACGUGAGUGUAUUAAAUGGUGCAUGCUACAGAUAAGGCUUGUGCUUCUUUGCCUUCGCUGCGAGCGAGGUGGUAAACCCACAUUGUUAACUCAUUCCCAAGGUACUUGGAUUUUAUGCAUUUUCACUUUCAAGUGAGGAACUGAGCCUGCCUAGGGACAGUAGCCUGCUUCAGUGUAGCGUGACCACUGAGAAAGCCUGGGUUUGCAAUUGUCUCUUCUGCCUGUCUCCCUUGCUGACACGCUGCUCCAAUGAGGAGUCCCAUCACAGACCAUAGAGGGAAAGAACUUGGAGUGAGCGCCACCUCUUCCCGUUGCUGGUUCUCUAUUUUAGCUUACGUUACUGAAAUCAGUAAGAGUGGACAUAUUGAUUUGGUGGAGGAGAUUUCAAGACAGAGUGACAUUUAUUCUGUAGCACGGUUAUUGCCAGCUGCCUUGAGUCAGGCUUACAAUGUGAGUCAGGGCAAAAGCAGGUAGAAUUGUGUAAAAAGUAAUUCACUGGGCCUGACAAUGUACAGUUUGACAUAUAUGUACUCAAAGCUGCAGACAAAUCAAAUAUAGACAAAGGGUUCAGAAAUUAGUACCAUUAACAAAAGCAAAACAGUUUGUACAGGGGAAAUAGAAAGAUGUCUGGUGGGCAAGAUCUCAUCCGUUGAUGCCUCCAGGGUAUAAAAAUACAAACGCAUUUGAAGGACUUUCUUUUGAAAGGAUGCCCGAAAAGAGAGAGUAGCUAGGGUGCUUUGGUGGAAACAGGGAAGUGUUUUUCUACAUUCAACAUCAAAGUCCUACCAGGCCUCUACAGCCAUGGUCCAAUGCGGCCUGAUUUCUUCUCAGGCUUGAUGUAGAACUUUGCAUCAUCCACAUGAUACUGGCUUUUCAGGCACAUGGAACACAAGAAUUAGAAGAUUUUAAAGAAAAGUCUGGGAGGCCAGGCUGUGUGUGUGUGUGUGUGUGUGUGUGUGUGUGUGUGUGUAGGAUUGGACUACCUAUGGGGAGUCCCUGAGUAGGCUGUGCACAAAGCUGUCAGAGUAGAGCGAGUUGAAUUAGAGACCCCAGGAGCUAUGGGAUGUCUGCUGAGGAAGUCUGUAGUGAAUGAGUGGAGCCAUCUCAGGAGGGAGGCUAUGUGUGUGGCAGGCAUCACAGAGGUGGGUUACUCAAGUGCACCGCAACUCAAAUGAUGUCAUCUGCUUCCCCGCCUUGCUGGACAUGGAACUAUAGGACUUCAUCUUUCCCUCCUCGUUUUUUUUUUUUUUUUUUUAUCUUGCUUUUGUCCAGCUUUUCCUCAUGUUUCCCUCUCCUACCUUGUGUGCUGGAAAUGUUUACUCUGGCCAUUGCACAUGGGAAGUAUGUAAUAGAUUUUACUUUUAGAGGAUCUCACAGAUGAGAGACUGACUUCAGAAUCAAUAGAAUCUUUGGAUUUUGAACUUUUAAACAGAAGGAGGACUAUUAAGACUUAGGGGGGAGGUCCUUGGAGCUGGGCUGAUUGCUUUUGUAAGAUGAGAGCCUCUGGUGGGUCAAGAGCAGCAUCUAAACUAUUACCCACAGGCUUAUAUUCUGAACAUUUGUAACUGUCUGGUGGCUGUAUUUGGGGAGGUUGUGGAACUUUAGGAAGCCUGUCUGCUGGAAGUCACUGGGGAGCUUAUAGCCUGGCUCCCAGGUCUGGCCCGUCUCUGGUUCCUGGGAUGUCAGAGAGAGAGAGAGAGCAGCCUCUGUUGCAAGCUUGCUGUAAUGCCUUCACUAUGGUAAUGGGCUGAAAUGACUCUUGGAACUCACUCCAAACAGCUUGUGUUGUUUCUGCUGAGCAUCGUAGUCAGAGCAACACAAAGGGGUUGGUACCCCAGGCUUCUGUCGGAGUGUGAAGAGUUUCUACUACUGUGGUCAAUAAUGGUAGUUUUUCCCCAUUCAAAAGCUCUUGAGCGUUUGAAAUGUGUAGGUCCAAAUUAUGGUGUGCACUGUGGAUUUUAAAGACUUAGGAGGAAAAGAGUAAAUUAAAUUAUCAUGUUAAAAUUACUGCAUGUUGAAGCAGUAAAUUUUAUAUAUGUGGUUAAGAUAAUAUUGUAAUGAAACCCAUCUGUUUAUUUCAUUUUUUUAGUGUGGUUAAUAAAUAGUUUUAUUUGCUUA
Alexandromys fortis (reed vole) is the source of this 2619-nucleotide long non-coding RNA. RefSeq lists it as uncharacterized. NCBI's taxonomy places the organism in Eukaryota, Metazoa, Chordata, Mammalia, Rodentia, Cricetidae. The record is from RefSeq and is a predicted model, not a curated record. The transcript has 2 exons.